GGGCCCGCACAAGCGGUGGAGCAUGUGGUUUAAUUCGAUGAUACGCGAGGAACCUUACCAGGGCUUAAAUGUAGUGGGACAGGUCUAGAGAUAGACCCUUCUUCGGACCACUUACAAGGUGCUGCAUGGUUGUCGUCAGCUCGUGCCGUGAGGUGUCAGGUUAAGUCCUAUAACGAGCGCAACCCCUGUUGUUAGUUGCCAUCGAGUCAUGUCGGGAACUCUAACAAGACUGCCGGUGCAAACCGUGAGGAAGGUGGGGAUGACGUCAAAUCAUCACGGCCCUUACGUCCUGGGCCUACACACGUGCUACAAUGGCCGGUACAGAGAGCAGCCACUACGCGAGUAGGAGCGAAAUCUUCAAAGCCGGUCUCAGUUCGGAUCGCAGUCUGCAACUCGACUGCGUGAAGCUGGAAUC
RNAcentral lists this ribosomal RNA (415 nucleotides) under uncultured bacterium. RNAcentral describes it as "bacterial SSU rRNA". It matches the Rfam family "Bacterial small subunit ribosomal RNA", at positions 917 to 1333 of the family's 1533-position model. The record is from RNAcentral.